Molecule: long non-coding RNA, 841 nt
Filed under: Homo sapiens (human)
Lineage: Eukaryota; Metazoa; Chordata; Mammalia; Primates; Hominidae
Description: non-protein coding LINC01351:3
Source: RNAcentral
UGAAGACAACGAGAUAAAGAGAGAACUAGUGAGCAAGGCUGUAGUCAUCCUGAUAGAUAUAGCAGCAAGAAUGAUUUAGGCUGCUGGGGAGGAUCCAAUGAGAAUUCAAGAGGGCACCACUUCGGAAAUCCUGCUCUGAUCUUCCCACUCUCAGUUCUUUAAGAGUUACCUGCGUUGGGACCAUUAUCAUUAGGAUUAAUAGUAUUCCAUCAGUGCAUUUCACUAGUAUUUCCCUUGAACAUUUUCACUUGCAGCAACUGAGGGAGGCGUAGUAAGGAAGCCCAACACAACCAAUUCCCCCACUCCCCAAAUAAACCACUACGACCGGUCACAUUACGAUGACCAAAUCAUCAGCGAUUUGCACGAGGCGGUGGGGGGUGGGGGGUGCGGGCGGUGAUCGAAGGGCUGAAGAUGCGGAGGAGGCCGAGUCGCUAGGCGCUUUCGGGGGCGCUGUGCCGGUGAGGCUUAGGCAAGGGGACGGGGAACCGUGGUUAGAUGCAGCAGCGGCGGCAGCAGCCCUCCCAGGUCCCACUUCUUUGGCGUUCCUGCUGCCUGUGACUCAAGACAAUUGACUUCCACCUGAACCCUCAGCUCCGAACGCCUUGCAUUAGAAGCUAGAGCUUUGGAGGUUCUGAGGACGGUCCCUGGGGAGCAAGUGGUAGGUUUCGAGGCGCCCGCUUCCCCUCUGAUUCCUGCAGUAACUGAGAGAGAGUGUGCCAGAAAUGGCUUUGCUGCCGAAUGCAUUAUCUUGCCAUUUUCGUGUCCCAAUACUGAACAAACGAUCGCCUGAUCGAUCGAGACUGAGGCGCUGAAUGAUAGAGGGAAUAAACAUUUGCCCUGG